Molecule: ribosomal RNA, 402 nt
Filed under: uncultured bacterium
Lineage: Bacteria
Description: bacterial SSU rRNA
Rfam family: Bacterial small subunit ribosomal RNA
Source: RNAcentral
UGGGGAAUAUUGGGCAAUGGGCGAAAGCCUGACCCAGCCAUGCCGCGUGAGUGAUGAAGGCCUUAGGGUUGUAAAACUCUUUCGCUCGGGAAGAUAAUGACGGUACCGAGUAAAGAAGCCCCGGCUAAUUUCGUGCCAGCAGCCGCGGUAAUACGAAAGGGGCUAGCGUUGUUCGGAAUUACUGGGCGUAAAGCGCGCGUAGGCGGCAUACCAAGUUGGGGGUGAAAUCCCGGGGCUCAACCUCGGAACUGCCUCCAAAACUGGUAAGCUAGAGGAUGUGAGAGGAUAGUGGAAUUCCGAGUGUAGAGGUGAAAUUCGUAGAUAUUCGGAAGAACACCAGUGGCGAAGGCGACUGUCUGGCACAUUUCUGACGCUGAGGUGCGAAAGCGUGGGGAGCAAACA